GCUGGGCAUGGUGGUGCAUGCCUGUAAUCCCAGCUACUAUGGAGGCUGAGGCAGGAGAAUUGCUUGAACCCGGGAGGUGGAGAGGUUGCAGUGGGCUGAGAUUGUGCCACUGCACUCCAGCCUGGGCAACAGAGCAAGACUCCGUCUCAA
Molecule: non-coding RNA, 150 nt
Filed under: Pan troglodytes (chimpanzee)
Lineage: Eukaryota; Metazoa; Chordata; Mammalia; Primates; Hominidae
Source: Rfam by way of RNAcentral